This 277-nucleotide ribosomal RNA is filed under the name Rhizophagus irregularis. Lineage: Eukaryota; Fungi; Glomeromycota; Glomeromycetes; Glomerales; Glomeraceae. The record is from RNAcentral.
CAGUCAUGCUAGUGAGGAAUCAACCUGAUGGUGUGUGGGUUCUCCCUCGUACUUUCUGGUGCACUUUCUCACCCGGCAAGUUAACAUCAAUUUUGGUUGUCAUAAAAUGAUUGGAGGAAUGUAGCUUCGAUCUCGUAUUGAAGUGUUAUAGCCUUUGGUAGAUGUGACGAUCGGGAUUGGAGGAUUGCAACGGAUACCCCUUCGGGGGCUACCUGUCUGAUCUCUGAUUGUUGCUCUGGUGCUGAAAGCUUGCUAACGGUUAUCAAAGUCGAUGGUC